RNAcentral lists this ribosomal RNA (498 nucleotides) under uncultured bacterium. RNAcentral describes it as "partial 16S ribosomal RNA". It matches the Rfam family "Bacterial small subunit ribosomal RNA", at positions 27 to 507 of the family's 1533-position model. The record is from RNAcentral.
GGACGAACGCUGGCGGCGUGCCUAAUACAUGCAAGUUGAGCGCUGAAGGUUGGUACUUGUACCAACUGGAUGAGCAGCAAACGGGUGAGUAACGCGUGGGGAAUCUGCCUUUGAGCGGGGGACAACAUUUGGAAACGAAUGCUAAUACCGCAUAAAAACUUUAAACACAAGUUUUAAGUUUGAAAGAUGCAAUUGCAUCACUCAAAGAUGAUCCCGCGUUGUAUUAGCUAGUUGGUGAGGUAAAGGCUCACCAAGGCGAUGAUACAUAGCCGACCUGAGAGGGUGAUCGGCCACAUUGGGACUGAGACACGGCCCAAACUCCUACGGGAGGCAGCAGUAGGGAAUCUUCGGCAAUGGACGAAAGUCUGACCGAGCAACGCCGCGUGAGUGAAGAAGGUUUUCGGAUCGUAAAACUCUGUUGGUAGAGAAGAACGUUGGUGAGAGUGGAAAGCUCAUCAAGUGACGGUAACUACCCAGAAAGGGACGGCUAACUACGUG